This 253-nucleotide ribosomal RNA is filed under the name uncultured bacterium. RNAcentral describes it as "partial 16S ribosomal RNA". It matches the Rfam family "Bacterial small subunit ribosomal RNA", at positions 526 to 779 of the family's 1533-position model. The record is from RNAcentral.
CGGAGGGAGCUAGCGUUGUUCGGAAUUACUGGGCGUAAAGCGCGCGUAGGCGGUUUUUAAGUCAGAGGUGAAAGCCCAGUGCUCAACACUGGAACUGCCUUUGAAACUGGAAAACUUGAAUCUUGGAGAGGUCAGUGGAAUUCCGAGUGUAGAGGUGAAAUUCGUAGAUAUUCGGAAGAACACCAGUGGCGAAGGCGACUGACUGGACAAGUAUUGACGCUGAGGUGCGAAAGCGUGGGGAGCAAACAGGAUU